AAGGAUCGCAUGAUUCUUAGAUGAAAGAUGGUUCUGCUAUCGCUUUUAGAUGGACCCGCGGCGUAUUAACUAGUUGGUGGGGUAACGGCCUACCAAGGUGAUGAUACGUAGCCGAACUGAGAGGUUGAUCGGCCACAUUGGGACUGAGACACGGCCCAAACUCCUACGGGAGGCAGCAGUAGGGAAUCUUCCACAAUGGACGCAAGUCUGAUGGAGCAACGCCGCGUGAGUGAAGAAGGUCUUCGGAUCGUAAAACUCUGUUGUUAGAGAAGAACACGAGUGAGAGUAACUGUUCAUUCGAUGACGGUAUCUAACCAGCAAGUCACGGCUAACUACGUGCCAGCAGCCGCGGUAAUACGUAGGUGGCAAGCGUUGUCCGGAUUUAUUGGGCGUAAAGGGAACGCAGGCGGUCUUUUAAGUCUGAUGUGAAAGCCUUCGGCUUAACCGGAGUAGUGCAUUGGAAACUGGAAGACUUGAGUGCAGAAGAGGAGAGUGGAACUCCAUGUGUAGCGGUGAAAUGCGUAGAUAUAUGGAAGAACACCAGUGGC
RNAcentral lists this ribosomal RNA (548 nucleotides) under uncultured Bacilli bacterium. RNAcentral describes it as "bacterial SSU rRNA". It matches the Rfam family "Bacterial small subunit ribosomal RNA", at positions 181 to 716 of the family's 1533-position model. Lineage: Bacteria; Bacillati; Bacillota; Bacilli. The record is from RNAcentral.